This 350-nucleotide ribosomal RNA is filed under the name uncultured Bacteroides sp. RNAcentral's name for it is "bacterial SSU rRNA". It matches the Rfam family "Bacterial small subunit ribosomal RNA", at positions 355 to 702 of the family's 1533-position model. The record is from RNAcentral. Lineage: Bacteria; Pseudomonadati; Bacteroidota; Bacteroidia; Bacteroidales; Bacteroidaceae.
GGAGGAAUAUUGGUCAAUGGGCGCAAGCCUGAACCAGCCAAGUAGCGUGAAGGAUGACUGCCCUAUGGGUUGUAAACUUCUUUUAUGCGGGAAUAACCUCGACCAUGUAUGGUCGUUUGCAUGUACCGCAAGAAAAAGCAUCGGCUAAUUCCGUGCCAGCAGCCGCGGUAAUACGGAAGGUGCGAGCGUUAUCCGGAUUUAUUGGGUUUAAAGGGAGCGUAGGCGGACUAUCAAGUCAGUUGUGAAAGUCAUCGGCUCAACCGCUGAAUUGCAGUUGAAACUGGUAGUCUUGAGUGCACAUGAGGAUGGUGGAAUUCGUAGUGUAGCGGUGAAAUGCUUAGAUAUUACGA